UGAGGUGAGGAGGGUGUCCCAAAUGGCACCCUAUUCACUAUAUAGUACAUUUGGGACGCAGUCAGAGAGUGGGAGAAAGAUGAUGAUGAUGGAUGAGAUUAUGUAAUUAUAAAAAUAGAAACACUAGAACAUGAUUCCCCAGUCAAGUCAAUGGGGCUGGUGGUCUGAGGAUGACUCCUCAGUCAGGUCAAUGGGGCGGGUGGUCUGAGGAUGACUCCUCAGUCAGGUCAAUGGGGCUGGUGGUCUGAGGAUGACUCCUCAGUCAGGUCAAUGGGGCGGGUGGUCUGAGGAUGAUUCCCCAGUCAGGUCAAUGGGGCUGGUGGUCUGAGGAUGACUCCUCAGUCAGGUCAAUGGGGCUGCCGCGGUCUGAGGAUGAUUCCCCAGUCAGGUCAAUGGGGCUGGUGGUCUGAGGAUGAUUCCCCAGUCAAGUCAAUGGGGCUGCCGUGGUCUGAGGAUGAUUCCAGAGUCAGGUCAAUGGGGCUGCCGUGGUCUGAGGAUGAGUCCCCAGUCAGGUCAAUGGGGCUGGUGGUCUGAGGAUGAUUCCAGAGUCAGGUCAAUGGGGCUGCCGUGGUCUGAGGAUGAUUCCAGUCAGGUCAAUGGGGCUGCCGCGGUCUGAGGAUGAGUCCCCAGUCAGGUCAAUG
Molecule: long non-coding RNA, 641 nt
Organism: Oncorhynchus keta (chum salmon)
Lineage: Eukaryota; Metazoa; Chordata; Actinopteri; Salmoniformes; Salmonidae
Exons: 3
Source: RefSeq, a predicted model, not a curated record